GUGCUUUCCUGAUACCCUUUGCCGUAAUGCUUGUUCUGGAAGGGAUACCUCUUUUCCUGAUUGAACUGGGUAUUGGACAACGAAUGCGGCUGGGAUCCAUGGGCGUCUGGAACACAAUACACCCUUGGCUGGGAGGAAUUGGCAUUGCUAGUGGAAUAGUCACGUUCUUGAUCUCGUUGUACUAUAACGUCAUCAUCACCUGGUGCUUCUAUUACCUGUUCAACUCAUUUCAGAGUCCUUUGCCCUGGGCAUCCUGUCCUGUAAUCAAUGGCACAGAAAUUGCUGAGUGUGCAAAAUCCUCUGAGACAGCUUAUUUCUGGUACCGAACAACACUCGACGCGUCACCAGCGAUUGAUGACCCACAGGGCCUGAAAUGGUGGAUUGUAGUCCUCCUCCUAUUGGCCUGGACCAUAGUCUUCUGCAUAGUCAUGAAAGGCAUUCAAUCUUCUGGGAAGGUUGUCUAUUUCACAUCCCUGUUCCCAUAUAUAGUCCUUACAAUCUUCUUCAUAAGAGGAUUAACAUUAGAAGGUGCUAAAGCAGGAAUAAUCCAUAUGUAUACACCAAAGGUUGAAAAGCUUCUUGAUCCAACUGUGUGGCUUGAUGCAGCUACACAAGUAUUUUAUUCAUUUGGGUUGGCUUUUGGAUCGCUCAUAGCUUUUGGCAGUUACAAUCCGCCAAAAAAUAACUGUGUUCGUGAUGUUAUUCUUGUUUCUAUUGCAAAUGCAUGUACUGCUAUUUAUGCCAGUGUGGUCAUCUUCUCAAUUCUUGGUUUCAAAGCCAUGACUAUUGUACAUAAAUGUAUUGAUGGGAACACAGAAAAACUAUUGCAUUUUGGUUUCAAUGUAUCAAAAGAUGAUUAUGAAGACUUCAUGAACAACUUUGGAAAUAAUGACACUAUAAAAGCAUUGCAGCUAGAAGACUGCAGCUUGGAAAAGCAGCUAGAUGAGGCUGCAGAGGGUACAGGUCUCGCCUUCAUAGUCUUCACAAAGGCUAUUGUUGAGCUGCCAUUCUCACCUUUCUGGUCUCUAAUUUUCUUCAUGAUGCUGCUGGCCUUGGGCCUUGGUUCGCAGAUUGGCAUUCUUGAGGGAAUGCUUUGCACAAUUUUUGACAUUGAAAUACUGAAGAGGGUGCGAAAACAGUACAUAACAGCUGCUGUCUGUAUUGUGUGCUUCUUUGUGGGUCUCAUCUUUUGCUCUGGUGCUGGAGAGUAUUGGCUCAAGCUGUUUGACUCAUUUGGAGGCACUAUUGGACUUGUACUUGUUGCUUUACUUGAAACAGUUGCAGUUAUGUAUGUUUAUGGACAUGAAAAGUUCACUAAGGAUAUUGAGGACAUGACAGGAUACAGACCAGGAAUUUACUGGCAGAUAACGUGGAGACUACUUGGUCCACUACUGAUGACAGUAAUUCUUGUGACAUCAGUGAUUUUCAUGAUAAUUAAUAAACCAAAAUACCAUGCAUGGAAUGCAGAACUGGGAAAAACUGUUGCGACAGAUUACCCUGAUUGGGUAAUGGGAAUAGCUAUAUGUAUGGUUGUUGCUGGAAUUCUUCCAAUGCCAAUUGUAUUUAUUCUGAGGAGAUGUCAGUGCUUGAAGCUAGAUGUAAACAUUCACCAAGGUUCUAUCAGAAGAAUUGAGACAACAGUUUCUACGAAAGAAAUGAUGGGAGAUGUUGAUGUUGAGACUAUGGAACCACCAAGGCUUCCUUACUCAGAUGUUAUGUGACUCACCUUCUAAUUCAUCACGCAUAGCAAUAAUAAUGUAAACAGAAAUUUAACACUUUGAUGAAUAUCAUGAUAUACCCCAAGAUGGUUCCGAUUUUGUUGAUGAUGACGAUGAUGAUGAGCCCCCAAAUAUGGGAUCUUUGAAACAACAGAAGAGAGAAUUUGCCAUGGAAGUAAUGGACUAAGUAAU
RNAcentral lists this unclassified non-coding RNA (1910 nucleotides) under Schistocerca americana (American grasshopper). Its description in RNAcentral is "sodium-dependent neutral amino acid transporter B(0)AT1, transcript variant X3". The record is from RNAcentral. Lineage: Eukaryota; Metazoa; Arthropoda; Insecta; Orthoptera; Acrididae.